This is a small nuclear RNA of Sciurus vulgaris (Eurasian red squirrel), 107 nucleotides long. The record is from Ensembl. Lineage: Eukaryota; Metazoa; Chordata; Mammalia; Rodentia; Sciuridae.
GUGCUUGAUUUGACAGCACACAUACUAUAAUUGAAAUGAUACAGAGCAGACUAUAGUGGCCUCUGUACAAGGAUGACACAUGGAUUUGUGUAGUUUUCCAUAUUAAU